Molecule: long non-coding RNA, 1752 nt
Filed under: Aphidius gifuensis
Lineage: Eukaryota; Metazoa; Arthropoda; Insecta; Hymenoptera; Braconidae
Description: uncharacterized LOC122854448
Source: RNAcentral
CUCAAUACUAUUAUUUUUAUUUUUAUAUUUAUUUAAUUUUCAAGUUCAAAUUUUUAUGUAUAUAUUUAUUUUUUUUGUUUUUUUUUCAGAUUUUGUACAGUACUUCCGCAAGUUCGAUUUAUUUCUUUUGAAUUUUUUAUAACUUUGCUAACAUCAGGAAAAAAAAGUCUUCAAAUAUUUGAUGGAAAAGUUUACGUUUGAAUUAUUUUGUUGAUUUCGUCAAUGCGAGUGAUUUUACCAAUUGGUCAUCGCAAAAUUAUUUAAAAAAUCUUUGUUGUCCAUAAAAACCGAAAGUUUCUGGUUUUGACUUAUUCUGGGAUAACGAUGGCGAUAAAUACGAAAAUUCAUGUAUGGAAAUUCAGAGGAGGGUCAGCAAUUAUCUCGGGACUUUCAAGUAGGUCGUUGAUUCGUGGGACGAAAAUUACGAGAGUACGUAAAUUAUUGAACAGUUUGCAACCAAAAUGUGGAGAGAAUGAGAGAACUGAACUGAAAAGUUAAUUAAUUAAAAGCUAAACUAAUAGGCAAGUUUAGAGAAAGAAUUUUUCAAAAGGUACCUCAACAAACAAGCUAUGAAAAAAAAAAAAAAAAAAUUAACAAAGUUAUAAUAUGAUAGUUACUAACUACUAAUUAGGUGAAGAAAAAAAAACCUUUGUUAUGUUGAAUCUUUUCACUAUGAUGACGUACAUCAUGUUUCGUGACAUUUGCAAUUUUCUUGAUCAUUUUCAUGAGAAAAUAAAGCAUAUAACAUAGUAAAUAUGAAAUAUUAUACUAAAAGAGAAGAAAAUUAAAAAACCUAAUGAGUGUACGUUCUGGUGUUUAAACGAUAGUAUAGAGAGUUUAAUGAGUAAGCUUCAGCAAUGGCUAACUCAAUAUUCUCCAACUAAUUUUCCUAUGAAUUAUUAAUUGUUCAUGUUUAACGACAAGCUGUCAUUUCAAAGUAAAAAUCACUAAUAAAAUUUAGUCAACAGCUUACUGUUUAUAGCAAGAUGAUUCAUAUGAUGACGAAAAAUUUUAAAUACUUUUGUAGUUGAGCUUCAAGUACUAAUGCUUUAUUUAAUUUAUUUUUUUAUAUUAAGAAAUAUAUUGUUUAUAUAGAUAAAUUGUUAAAGUAAGUAGUAUCUAUUUACGAUGAUUGUAAAAGAUGAUAGUUGCCAACAGAACAAACAAUAGACAAACUGUGAUAGUCAAUGAUCAACGAUGGAUGAACGACAAGUGUUGAUGAACACAAUGAUAUAUCUCAACAAAUAUGAACAAUUGAAUUUGCGAAUGUAUUGCGAUUUGUCAACGAUUACUUGAUGGAACAAGUAUUUUUAAAACAAGUUGCAUUUUAUAAAUGCUAUGAAUGAUACUUAAAUAUAUAGGUAGAUUAGGUAUAGUAUGUUUAAGUAAAUAAAAAGACAUUUGUAAUUUAUGUAAUAAAAAAUAUGUAUGCUUGGGUGCGGCAGUGAGUAUAACAACUGGUGGGAUGAUGUAGUUUUUAGACAACAUCACCUCAUCAAGGGAUAGCAUAUGCGAGUGAGAACGUCGGCCAUUAUUUGUUUUUUUUGAUGGUUUGGUAAGUUGUAAAUAUAUAUAUAUAAAUGUAUAAAAAAAAAACGAAGUCGUGAUGAGAUAGUAAGGCUGUUGGCCAACGUUGGAUGUUCAAUGAAGUAGAACAGAUCCCAGUUGGUCCCGCAGACGAUUGAUGGUAUUUUUAUGUUUUUCUUUUUUUUUUCUAAUAAUGGAUGGUGAAUUGAUUGAAGUCUUUGUUAG